This 1123-nucleotide long non-coding RNA is filed under the name Daucus carota (carrot). Its description in RNAcentral is "long non-coding RNA (DCAR_LNC003904)". The record is from RNAcentral. Lineage: Eukaryota; Viridiplantae; Streptophyta; Magnoliopsida; Apiales; Apiaceae.
UAUAAUUUAACAUUAAAGCUUAGAGAUCAUAAACAUGACAUAACCAAAACAUCUGCAUAUUUUUAUUUCAAAGCAGUCAGCAGAUAAGAACCACAUCAACAUACAUGAAUACAUAUAAAGUUACACAAGUAAUUUAGCAAUCUGCAUGUUAUAUAAAGGAAACAGCGCUCUACAUGAAUACAUAUAAAAUAAGGUUCCACUAAAAAUAACCUCUGAAAUUUACUUGAAGUAUACACAUAUCUACAUAUACAUAUACCCUAAAUGCAUAAACAGGAGUCACAAUAUUCUAAACAUAACUAUCAUACAGUUUAUAAUUAACCGACAUAACUCAUAAGAAACAGUAUAAUAUGAAUAAGAGUUAAUUACAGUUUGUAACCCCUAGGAUUGCUCCAAACGCACUUAAGAUCCUGAACUAUCAAACGUGACAUAAUGGACCCUGAACUUUACAUUCCUGUGCAAGUUGUAACCCAUAGUCAUUAUUCCGUCCAAAUAUGCCGUUAACUUUAACUGUUUGAGAGGUAACAGUGUGUAUACUAGUUUCUAACAGCUACUUUACCUCUUGUGACCCCUAAAAAAUUAUGUAUUAUAUUUUGAAAUUAUUUCUAAACACACACAACGAUGUAAAAAAAUUUAAAAUAAGUUUAAAAUAUGUAUCUAGAUUUAGAAUCUGAAAAUUUAUUAUUAUUUUUACAUAAACGAUGUAACUUAUUUUAAAAUUUUAAAAUAAAUACAUAUUUUAAAAUUUAUUUUAAUAGUUUUUACAUCGUUGUGUGUGUUCAGAAUUAAUUUCAAUAUAUAAUACAUAAACUUUGAGCAGUCACAGGGCUAAAAUAGCUGUUGAAAACUAAUAUAUACACUGUUACCUCUCAAACAGUUAAAGUUAACGGCAUAUUUGGAUGGAAUAGUGACUAUGGGUUACAACUUGCACGGGAAUGUAAAGUUCAGGGUGCAUUAUGUCACGUUUGAUAGUUCAGGAUCUUAAGUGCGUUUGGAGCAAUCCUAGGGGUUACAAACUAUAAUUAACUCUAUGAAUAAAGCACUGUGUGAACACAAGACUAUAGUUAUAACUUAUGUUGCCUGUAAAUAUAUACUGGAAUGCAGAAAUAGGUAAAAUAAGACCUGG